UCUCUCUCUUUCUCUCAUCCUUUCUUUCCCUCUCUCUCUCUCUCUCUCUCUCUAACUCACGUCAAAUUUCGUUUGGUCGACUCCGUAAUGCAUACCGCGUCGAAUGCAAUUUGGGAAACAAAACAGAUUAACGGAGCGCGCGAGGGCCGUUUCGUAUUAGUGAAACCGAAAGAUACGUAUGGGCAAAUACACGAACCCAGAGACAUACAAAUGUAUGCACGCGUAUAUACAUACUCGUAUACAUAUGCAAUCACUCGUGCCCACACACACACACACUAAUACACAUCUAUAUACACGUCUAUCCACGGUUUUGCGUUUAGUGAUUGCGGCGUCGACGUUGCGGUUGUACGUCAAUCGCAAUAGCGCGUCGGCCUCGAUGCGACGACAUAUCGAGCCCACCGCGAAGACAGAGGAAGGCCCGUUCGUCGAGUUACCCCCAUAUCCACCUCACAUGCAACCCCCUCCCGUCUGGCAUUCAUCCCUUCGGCAAGCCCUAGUUGCCCGCCGGGCGCGUCUGCGUUUGGUAAAGAGACUUUUGGGACAUCCCGUAUAUAAAUACAUUGAGAGAUUUCGUAUAUAGAAGAAAUAGGAGAGGAAAAAUAAAAAGCAAGAAAACAUGGAACGAUUACUCUUAAUCCUAUCGAACGAUCCAUCCUGUUCAUGUAUCUACUAGAAAGAGACAGAGAGAGAGAGAGAAAGAGGAGGAGAUCCUUUAAUCCGAGCAACGUCGUCGAUCUAUUUUUACGUCAGAGUUUCAUCGGAACGAAAAGAUUAGCAGCGUCGAUAUCGUUCGAAAUACGAAUGAACGAGUUUGUUCCUAUCGAUUCUGACGCCUAUCAGGACAAGGUUUGCCCUUUGCUGAGCCAGCUUCCGAAGGCGUUCUUUUUAUUCUCUUGCCGGACGAUCUCGGGGAUAAAUCUUUGGAA
This is a long non-coding RNA of Polistes canadensis, 926 nucleotides long. RefSeq lists it as uncharacterized. The transcript has 4 exons. NCBI's taxonomy places the organism in Eukaryota, Metazoa, Arthropoda, Insecta, Hymenoptera, Vespidae. The record is from RefSeq and is a predicted model, not a curated record.